CCUACGGGUGGCAGCAGUGGGGAAUAUUGCGCAAUGGGCGAAAGCCUGACGCAGCGACGCCGCGUGAGGGAUGAAGGUCUUCGGAUCGUAAACCUCUGUCAGCAGGGAAGAACGGUCACUGUGCUAAUCAGCAGUGAAUUGACGGUACCUGCAAAGGAAGCACCGGCGAACUCCGUGCCAGCAGCCGCGGUAAUACGGAGGGUGCGAGCGUUAAUCGGAAUUACUGGGCGUAAAGCGCUCGUAGGCGGUAUGACAAGUCAAGGGUGAAAUCCCCGCGCUCAACGUGGGAACUGCCUUUGAAACUGGCAGACUGGAGUGUGUGAGAGGAUAGUGGAAUGCCAGGUGUAGGAGUGAAAUCCGUAGAUAUCUUGAGGAACAUCAGUGGCGAAGGCGACUAUCUGGCACAUAACUGACGCUGAGGAGCGAAAGCGUGGGUAGCAAACAGGAUUAGAUACCCGGGUAGUC
RNAcentral lists this ribosomal RNA (465 nucleotides) under uncultured bacterium. RNAcentral describes it as "partial 16S ribosomal RNA". It matches the Rfam family "Bacterial small subunit ribosomal RNA", at positions 338 to 795 of the family's 1533-position model. The record is from RNAcentral.